GUUGGCACAUACUUUUCAAAGCUAGAUUCAAACAAUGAACAACACAAGGAGUCCAAAAUAUAUGAGGAUAUUUUUCCUCCACCAUAGUACCGGCAAGUUUCAUAUUACUUGCGUUAUCUGUAAUAACUUGAACAACAUUAUUUGGACCUACUUUCUCUAUUGCUUCAAGAAACAAAUUAAUAAUAUAUUCUCCACCCUUCGUGCACCCGCUAGAAUUUAUUGAAUUUAAAAAUAUUGGACCCCCACUAGAUGAUGCCAAUAUAUUGAUCAAAGGCCGUCUUUUAGUAUCAGACCAUCCGUCCGAACAAAUCGA
This 313-nucleotide long non-coding RNA is filed under the name Capsicum annuum. RNAcentral's name for it is "long non-coding RNA (CANN_LNC015615)". The record is from RNAcentral. Lineage: Eukaryota; Viridiplantae; Streptophyta; Magnoliopsida; Solanales; Solanaceae.